RNAcentral lists this transfer RNA (68 nucleotides) under Apostichopus parvimensis. Its description in RNAcentral is "tRNA-Ile". It matches the Rfam family "tRNA". From Rfam's summary of the family: Transfer RNA (tRNA) molecules are approximately 80 nucleotides in length. Their secondary structure includes four short double-helical elements and three loops (D, anti-codon, and T loops). Further hydrogen bonds mediate the characteristic L-shaped molecular structure. tRNAs have two regions of fundamental functional importance: the anti-codon, which is responsible for specific mRNA codon recognition, and the 3' end, to which the tRNAs corresponding amino acid is attached (by aminoacyl-tRNA synthetases). tRNAs cope with the degeneracy of the genetic code in two manners: having more than one tRNA (with a specific anti-codon) for a particular amino acid; and 'wobble' base-pairing, i.e. permitting non-standard base-pairing at the 3rd anti-codon position. The record is from RNAcentral. Lineage: Eukaryota; Metazoa; Echinodermata; Holothuroidea; Aspidochirotida; Stichopodidae.
GGACUUACUCCUAGUUGGAAUAUCUGACCGAUAAUCAGACAGUAGAGGUUAAAAUCCUCUUAAGUCCU